GUGAGACGAGUCGGAGCCCGCAGCAAGCUUAAGGUUGGCUGGAAGAUGCACCCGGGUAGGAAAAAGAGAGGCAAUAGCAAUCAAGAAGACUGGAUUUGUUACUGAGCGGAGAUUGUGUAGAAGUGUAUUCUUCAAUUUCCAUACCUUUCUGCUAUUGGUUUCUAGUUGAUUCCAUUAUGGUCAACAAACAUCCUCCCUAUGAUUUCAGUUUUCUCUACCUGAGGAUCAUGCCACCCAAGACAUGAUCUAUCUUGUUCUAUCAGCUUCUGGGAGAUGGGUGCAGAAGUCUGCAACUAUAAUUAUGGAUUCAUCUUUCUCCGCUUGGUUUUUGCUUCAAAAGAUAAAAGGCAUGGAGAAGGUAAUGUCUUUUGAGGCUCUGCUAUUUGGUGUGUGUGCAAAUUUAGAAUUAGUAUGUUUUCCUGCUGGAUCACCCCUGUCAGGUACAUAAUAAAAGGA
Lutra lutra (Eurasian river otter) is the source of this 456-nucleotide long non-coding RNA. RefSeq lists it as uncharacterized. Lineage: Eukaryota; Metazoa; Chordata; Mammalia; Carnivora; Mustelidae. The record is from RefSeq and is a predicted model, not a curated record. The transcript has 3 exons.